UGUUUCGACACACUAUCAUUAACUGAAUCCAUAGGUUAAUGAGGCGAACCGGGGGAACUGAAACAUCUAAGUACCCCGAGGAAAAGAAAUCAACCGAGAUUCCCCCAGUAGCGGCGAGCGAACGGGGAGGAGCCCAGAGCCUGAAUCAGUGUGUGUGUUAGUGGAAGCGUCUGGAAAGGCGCGCGAUACAGGGUGACAGCCCCGUACACAAAAAUGCACAUAUUGUGAGCUCGAUGAGUAGGGCGGGACACGUGGUAUCCUGUCUGAAUAUGGGGGGACCAUCCUCCAAGGCUAAAUACUCCUGACUGACCGAUAGUGAACCAGUACCGUGAGGGAAAGGCGAAAAGAACCCCGGCGAGGGGAGUGAAAAAGAACCUGAAACCGUGUACGUACAAGCAGUGGGAGCCUCUUAAUGGGGUGACUGCGUACCUUUUGUAUAAUGGGUCAGCGACUUAUAUUCUGUAGCAAGGUUAACCGAAUAGGGGAGCCGAAGGGAAACCGAGUCUUAACUGGGCGUUAAGUUGCAGGGUAUAGACCCGAAACCCGGUGAUCUAGCCAUGGGCAGGUUGAAGGUUGGGUAACACUAACUGGAGGACCGAACCGACUAAUGUUGAAAAAUUAGCGGAUGACUUGUGGCUGGGGGUGAAAGGCCAAUCAAACCGGGAGAUAGCUGGUUCUCCCCGAAAGCUAUUUAGGUAGCGCCUCGUGAAUUCAUCUCCGGGGGUAGAGCACUGUUUCGGCAAGGGGGUCAUCCCGACUUACCAACCCGAUGCAAACUGCGAAUACCGGAGAAUGUUAUCACGGGAGACACACGGCGGGUGCUAACGUCCGUCGUGAAGAGGGAAACAACCCAGACCGCCAGCUAAGGUCCCAAAGUCAUGGUUAAGUGGGAAACGAUGUGGGAAGGCCCAGACAGCCAGGAUGUUGGCUUAGAAGCAGCCAUCAUUUAAAGAAAGCGUAAUAGCUCACUGGUCGAGUCGGCCUGCGCGGAAGAUGUAACGGGGCUAAACCAUGCACCGAAGCUGCGGCAGCGACACUAUGUGUUGUUGGGUAGGGGAGCGUUCUGUAAGCCUGUGAAGGUGGCCUGUGAGGGUUGCUGGAGGUAUCAGAAGUGCGAAUGCUGACAUAAGUAACGAUAAAGCGGGUGAAAAGCCCGCUCGCCGGAAGACCAAGGGUUCCUGUCCAACGUUAAUCGGGGCAGGGUGAGUCGACCCCUAAGGCGAGGCCGAAAGGCGUAGUCGAUGGGAAACAGGUUAAUAUUCCUGUACUUGGUGUUACUGCGAAGGGGGGACGGAGAAGGCUAUGUUGGCCGGGCGACGGUUGUCCCGGUUUAAGCGUGUAGGCUGGUUUUCCAGGCAAAUCCGGAAAAUCAAGGCUGAGGCGUGAUGACGAGGCACUACGGUGCUGAAGCGACAAAUGCCCUGCUUCCAGGAAAAGCCUCUAAGCAUCAGGUAACAUCAAAUCGUACCCCAAACCGACACAGGUGGUCAGGUAGAGAAUACCAAGGCGCUUGAGAGAACUCGGGUGAAGGAACUAGGCAAAAUGGUGCCGUAACUUCGGGAGAAGGCACGCUGAUAUGUAGGUGAAGCGACUUGCUCGUGGAGCUGAAAUCAGUCGAAGAUACCAGCUGGCUGCAACUGUUUAUUAAAAACACAGCACUGUGCAAACACGAAAGUGGACGUAUACGGUGUGACGCCUGCCCGGUGCCGGAAGGUUAAUUGAUGGGGUUAGCGGUAACGCGAAGCUCUUGAUCGAAGCCCCGGUAAACGGCGGCCGUAACUAUAACGGUCCUAAGGUAGCGAAAUUCCUUGUCGGGUAAGUUCCGACCUGCACGAAUGGCGUAAUGAUGGCCAGGCUGUCUCCACCCGAGACUCAGUGAAAUUGAACUCGCUGUGAAGAUGCAGUGUACCCGCGGCAAGACGGAAAGACCCCGUGAACCUUUACUAUAGCUUGACACUGAACAUUGAGCCUUGAUGUGUAGGAUAGGUGGGAGGCUUUGAAGUGUGGACGCCAGUCUGCAUGGAGCCGACCUUGAAAUACCACCCUUUAAUGUUUGAUGUUCUAACGUGGGCCCCUUACCGGGGUUGCGGACAGUGUCUGGUGGGUAGUUUGACUGGGGCGGUCUCCUCCUAAAGAGUAACGGAGGAGCACGAAGGUUGGCUAAUCCUGGUCGGACAUCAGGAGGUUAGUGCAAUGGCAUAAGCCAGCUUGACUGCGAGCGUGACGGCGCGAGCAGGUGCGAAAGCAGGUCAUAGUGAUCCGGUGGUUCUGAAUGGAAGGGCCAUCGCUCAACGGAUAAAAGGUACUCCGGGGAUAACAGGCUGAUACCGCCCAAGAGUUCAUAUCGACGGCGGUGUUUGGCACCUCGAUGUCGGCUCAUCACAUCCUGGGGCUGAAGUAGGUCCCAAGGGUAUGGCUGUUCGCCAUUUAAAGUGGUACGCGAGCUGGGUUUAGAACGUCGUGAGACAGUUCGGUCCCUAUCUGCCGUGGGCGCUGGAGAACUGAGGGGGGCUGCUCCUAGUACGAGAGGACCGGAGUGGACGCAUCACUGGUGUUCGGGUUGUCAUGCCAAUGGCACUGCCCGGUAGCUAAAUGCGGAAGAGAUAAGUGCUGAAAGCAUCUAAGCACGAAACUUGCCCCGAGAUGAGUUCUCCCUGACUCCUUGAGAGUCCUGAAGGAACGUUGAAGACGACGACGUUGAUAGGCCGGGUGUGUAAGCGCAGCGAUGCGUUGAGCUAACCGGUACUAAUGAACCGUGAGGCUUAACCUU
Molecule: ribosomal RNA, 2770 nt
Filed under: Escherichia coli
Lineage: Bacteria; Pseudomonadati; Pseudomonadota; Gammaproteobacteria; Enterobacterales; Enterobacteriaceae
Description: partial 23S ribosomal RNA
Rfam family: Bacterial large subunit ribosomal RNA
Source: RNAcentral